This 465-nucleotide ribosomal RNA is filed under the name uncultured bacterium. Its description in RNAcentral is "partial 16S ribosomal RNA". It matches the Rfam family "Bacterial small subunit ribosomal RNA", at positions 339 to 795 of the family's 1533-position model. The record is from RNAcentral.
CUACGGGAGGCAGCAGUGGGGAAUAUUGGACAAUGGGGGAAACCCUGAUCCAGCAAUGCCGCGUGUGUGAAGAAGGCCUGCGGGUUGUAAAGCACUUUCGGUUGGGAGGACUGCUUCUAGCACUAAUAUUGUUGGAAGUUGACGUUACCUUCAGAAGAAGCACCGGCUAACUCCGUGCCAGCAGCCGCGGGUAAUACGGAGGGUGCAGCGUUAAUCGGAAUUACUGGGCGUAAAGCGCGCGUAGGCGGCUAGAUCAGUCGGGUGUGAAAGCCCCGGGCUUAACCUGGGAACUGCAUCCGAUACUGUCUAGCUUGAGUACAGGAGAGGAGAGUGGAAUUCCACAUGUAGCGGUGAAAUGCGUAGAUAUGUGGAGGAACACCAAUGGCGAAGGCAGCUCUCUGGCCUGAUACUGACGCUGAGGUGCGAAAGCGUGGGGAGCAAACAGGAUUAGAUACCCUUGUAGUC